CAUCCGGCAUGGAAACAUGUCGGAAGACCGGGCAGGAGUCAGCCGAGGUCAUAGUAGUUCCUCUCAUGGGAACGAAGGAC
Non-coding RNA from Desulfobulbaceae bacterium DB1, 80 nucleotides. The record is from Rfam. NCBI's taxonomy places the organism in Bacteria, Pseudomonadati, Thermodesulfobacteriota, Desulfobulbia, Desulfobulbales, Desulfobulbaceae.